GAAAAUGCUAAGAAAAAGAGGAGUAAAAAUAUUAAAAGCUUUAAGAGAGGAAAAUUCAUAGGCUGUAAGAUUUUCUAUGUUUUGUAUUUUGAAGGUAGCUUUGGAGCAGCUUUGCUGAAAUAUUAGUAGGUAAAGACGGCAAAAUGUCGUUAAUGUUUUUAAGAGUAUAUAAAUUUAGUUAUCUUAGCUAUUUUAUAUAAAAAAAGGUGGUACCGCGAGUCUUCGUCCUUUAU
Molecule: non-coding RNA, 233 nt
Filed under: Clostridium fallax
Lineage: Bacteria; Bacillati; Bacillota; Clostridia; Eubacteriales; Clostridiaceae
Description: T-box sequence
Rfam family: T-box leader
About the family: Uncharged tRNA acts as the effector for transcription antitermination of genes in the T-box leader family.
Source: RNAcentral